ACGCUAGCGGCAGGCUUAACACAUGCAAGUCGAGGGGCAGCGCGGGGUAGCAAUACUCUGGCGGCGACCGGCGGAAGGGUGCGUAACACGUGAGCGACUUGCCCGUCACAGGGAGAUAACCGGCGGAAACGGCGACUAAUAUCCCAUAUGAUCCGAAGUUACAUGGCGUCGGAUUGAAAGAUUCAUCGGUGACGGAUAGGCUCGCGGGACAUUAGCUGGACGGCGGGGCAACGGCCCACCGUGGCGACGAUGUCUAGGGGUUCUGAGAGGAAGAUCCCCCACACUGGAACUGAGACACGGUCCAGACUCCUACGGGAGGCAGCAGUGAGGAAUAUUGGUCAAUGGGCGGAAGCCUGAACCAGCCAUGCCGCGUGAAGGAAUAAGGCCCUAUGGGUCGUAAACUUCUUUAGACGCAGAGCAAUAAGGGUCUCGCGAGGCCCGAUGAGAGUAUGCGUAGAAUAAGCAUCGGCUAACUCCGUGCCAGCAGCCGCGGUAAUACGGGGGAUGCGAGCGUUAUCCGGAUUUAUUGGGUUUAAAGGGUGCGUAGGCGGCAAGGUAAGUCAGCGGUGAAAGACCAGGGCUCAACUCUGGAAGUGCCGUUGAUACUGUCUGGCUAGAAUGAUUCCGCCGUGGGAGGAAUGAGUAGUGUAGCGGUGAAAUGCAUAGAUAUUACUCAGAACACCGAUUGCGAAGGCAUCUCACGAGGGGUUCAUUGACGCUGAGGCACGAAAGCGUGGGGAUCGAACAGGAUUAGAUACCCUGGUAGUCCACGCAGUAAACGAUGAUGGCUAACUGUCGGGCCUAUUGGGUUCGGCGGCCAAGCGAAAGCGAUAAGCCAUCCACCUGGGGAGUACGACCGCAAGGUUGAAACUCAAAGGAAUUGACGGGGGCCCGCACAAGCGGAGGAACAUGUGGUUUAAUUCGAUGAUACGCGAGGAACCUUACCCAGGCUCGAACGGCAUCUGAAUUGUCCAGAGAUGGACAAGUCUUCGGACAGAUGUCGAGGUGCUGCAUGGUUGUCGUCAGCUCGUGCCGUG
RNAcentral lists this ribosomal RNA (1037 nucleotides) under human gut metagenome. RNAcentral's name for it is "bacterial SSU rRNA". It matches the Rfam family "Bacterial small subunit ribosomal RNA", at positions 33 to 1069 of the family's 1533-position model. The record is from RNAcentral.